Molecule: long non-coding RNA, 3223 nt
Filed under: Glycine max (soybean)
Lineage: Eukaryota; Viridiplantae; Streptophyta; Magnoliopsida; Fabales; Fabaceae
Description: long non-coding RNA (GMAX_LNC002377)
Source: RNAcentral
UGGAAAUUGUUGUAAAUUAUGUAGCCAUCUUGAGUUAUAAUUAUAACAGCAAUUAUCAGCAAAAGGAGUAACCGAUUUGGAUGAAGAGUAAACACUCGACAGAAGUUGAUGGAGCAUAGCAGAGUUUUGGUCAAUGGAGCCUGCCUGCUGCUAAAGUCUGAUCUUCAUAGCUCCCUAGACCAAAGACAAAUUGAAGCCGAAGAAGGAAACUGAAUUUCUGCAAUGAUAAAGAAAAGCUAAGAUUUAUUAGCAUUUUGAUGAUGUACACAUAUACAGUUAUUCUUAAUAACUUUUUGCAAAAUCAACCAUUAAAUUAUAUAAUAUUGUUUUAUAUUUUUGGUGUAAAAUGUUUUGGUAUUAUUCAAAUUUGAUUUUUAACAUUAAUUAUUAUUGGCUAGAGUUUUCUUAUCUUUCGACCAAGCUUCAAAUUAAUCAAAAAAAAAAAAUUCUUCUCUAUAAACUGGAAGGUUAAGACAAAAAAAUAUUUUCUUGAUGAUAAUUCAUAUAUAAAAUAAAUUGAAUAUUCACGUCAAUAGAUACGUAAUCUUAUGUUCAACGUUAACUUAAUUUUGAAAUAAAUUUUGUAAACUAGAUUUAUUUAAUGCGAAUAAUCAAAUCAACAGCUUAAUUAAUAAAAUUUAAUGUAAAAAGUUUAUUAAGGAUAGUAAGUUAAACAUGACUUACACUAUGUUUUUUCUUUACAGACUUACACCGUGUUAGAUCAUACAAAACAUGAAUAUUAACGUAACAUAUGUAUAUGAAGUCAUUUGUCGCUGUACACACGCGCGCGCAUAUAUAUAUAUAUAUAUAUAUAAAGUCAUUAUAUGAUUUAAGGUGAGAUAUUUAACACAUUCAUGUUUAUCAACACUUGCCUUUAGUUAUUUAUUAUUUCCACUGCUAAAUAUAAUUAGCUUGUUAUUCUAUACCUUUAUUAACACUGAUCUUUUUACUGGUUACAUUUGAUUAUUUAUUUAUUUUAAUAUUUGUUAAUAUAAAUAAAUUUAUGAUCAUGUUAUUAUUAUGAAAACAAAAAAAGGAGAAAAAAAUAAGGAUAGAUAAUGAAAUUCGCCCCCAAAAUGUGAUACAAUGAUACAAAAAUAUAAAUUUAAUCCCUAAAUCCAACACCCCCACUACCUAUUCAAGUAAUGCUUGGUAUUUUUCAAAUUCAACUUUUUCUUUCUUUUACCUCUCAUUUCCAAUUCCAUUUUCAUUAUUAAUCAUGAGUUGGGUUGUUUCUUUUUUGGAAUUAUGAAGUUCGAAGAAUGGAUGGAGAUCUAUCUGUUCGAAGAAUGGAUGGAGAAGAAAUAGAUGGUUUUAAAUUUUGGCAGCUAUAUAUAAACAGUAAGAAAUCGUUAAAUAUUUCUUAAAUGAGUUAUCAAGCAUUUUUUGACCGUUAAAGCUGUCAAAAAUUAACUUCUGAAAAAAAUAACACAUGACUAUCAUAAAAACUGUCACACCAUCGUUUAAAAGCUUAAUAAUGGAGACUAAAAAUAAAAAAUUUAAAAAGUUGAAAGACUGAAAAUAUAGUUAAUUCUAAUAAUAAAAAAAAUUAUUGGUGAGUAUCCCUUUAUUAUAAUUAGUUCUUCAAAUACAUCACUUUUUUUUUACUAAAACAAACUUAAUUUUAUCAUUUUAUUCAAAAUAAUGGCAUCAAUACAACUGGGAGCAUUAUCAAAAGAUUGUGAGCUACCGUAAAAUCUAGACACCCAAGCUAAUGAACGAGCAAUUCGAUUGACUUGGCUACGAACAAAACUCACGGUUGAGUUGUUAAUGGAAACUAGUUUUUAUUUACAUUGGGAUAAAAUAUAACCAGAUUCAUAAUGUAUAGGAUGAUAGGACUUCAAAUACAUUACUCUUAUAUUGCACAUGAUGGCUUCUGAAAUUUGGUUCUAGAUUUACGUAUCAGAAUUUUGAUAGGUAUAGUAUAUAAUACCAACUUGGCACCCGUACUAUCAUAGAAAAAUAGUAGAUUUUAGACUAAUGUAUUGCACAAAUUUAUUUAUAUUAUAUUUUUAAGUAUUUUAGUGUCUUUUAUUUUCAUUUCAGUAGUUUAUGAUUAUUAAGAAAUUAUUAACACAUAUAAAUAAUAAUUCUGAUAAAUAAAUAUUCUUUAUAAUAAUUAAAUUAAAAGAUACAAGGUUUGAAAUUAUUGUUGUAGCCAGAUCAAACACAUUCAAGUAUAGAGUGUAAUUUGUCUAUUUAGGUCAAACAUUAGGAUUUUAUAUAGGGGUGUCUUGUAAUGAGCCAAUUUGAUAUUCUCAUGAGUCACGAGGAUCUAUUAUAUAUGAUCUAUCCAUUACUCUGAGAUCCCUGAACAUGUAUCUGAAGAAGGUGGGGUUGCUUGUAAGCCAAGGACUUGAUGACGUGUCUUGUUAGAUGUUCAAAUAUCAAUAUGUUAAAGAUAAAUUGUCACGCGUCUUUUAUGAAUCCUAUACAAUAAACAUCAUAUAGAUAAUGUGAUAAAUAAUUAAAAUAAUCAGUAAAAAUAUAGGUAAUUAUAUUUCUACGAAACUUAUCUAAAGAUUCUCAAUAAUUAAACAAAUAAAUUUUACUCAUUUUAAGAACAUAUAUAUGAUUUCUAGGAUUCAUGAUUUUCGGGAAUGAAAAAAAAUUCUUCAUUACCAAACGUCUCCUUAGGUGUUUAUGCAGAAAAUUAUUGAAACGUGACCAUGUAAAUUGUGAUUGACCAGUUUUCUUGGAGUCUAAAAUUUCGAGUAGCUUUUACCAUGCAAAUGACAUUCGGAUUAGAAGCAAAGGUUUCUCAAGGGGAAAAAGUGUGCCAAAUAAGAAUCUUUCAAAGAAAAAGAUCCAAUUAGAAUGCAAUGCAAUGCAAGACGUUAACGUAUAACACAAGAUUUGGAAAGAAAGAAAGAAAGAAAUAUAAAUGAACACGUACGUUGGAACCUGAUGAUAAUUGAUGAGCAAAUGGAAGAGAGGGAGAGGAGUCUGGUGGUAUUGAGAGGGAACCCCAGAAUCAGAGAUGACAGAGGCAUACCCAUUCUGUUUCGUAUCUGCCGAACAACCUCACUGAAAGUGUCGCACUUAUCGGAAACACUCUCAGUCCCAUUGUUUGGCGGGAACGAGACAUAUGGCAGAAACUACCGAGGAAGAGAAGGAGAAGCAACGCUUCUGCAUUCAUCGUCGACGACCCAAGAACUCUCAUAAUUGCGUUACCACGAUGGGUGGAUUGCUACUUUAUUAUGACUUCAACGUUGAAUGAUCC